Molecule: transfer RNA, 87 nt
Filed under: Hyphomonas sp.
Lineage: Bacteria; Pseudomonadati; Pseudomonadota; Alphaproteobacteria; Hyphomonadales; Hyphomonadaceae
Description: tRNA-Leu
Rfam family: tRNA
About the family: Transfer RNA (tRNA) molecules are approximately 80 nucleotides in length. Their secondary structure includes four short double-helical elements and three loops (D, anti-codon, and T loops).
Source: RNAcentral
GCCUCUGUGGCGGAAUUGGUAGACGCGGCGGAUUCAAAAUCCGUUUCUGGCGACAGAGUGCCGGUUCGAGUCCGGCCAGAGGCACCA